ACUUGGAUAAGUAAGGACGCGUUUCAAUCUAAUAAGAAGUCCAGUUGCCAUGACUCAACUUCCAGAUAAAAGAUUGAAUGUGGAUGGAAAACUCUGAUCAGUAAGAGUAACCAUGCCCAGAUCUGAGUCAGCUUAGCCAUUAUGACACAUCUUCCAUUGUGACAUCACAGCCCUGCCUGCUUACAUGUCAGAUGAGCAGAGCUGGUCAAAUGUUUUGUCUGAACCUAAUCCAGGGCUAAUCGUGAGGCAAAGGAAGAUGUCUGUUUCGGUUAGCUGAUGCUCUGGGGGGCACAGAGGUGUUGAAACACAGAGCUAUUUGUAUGAGGGAGCCUGCUCUAUGCUCCCUAAGUUAGCCUGCUGCACUCAGCUGUGGUGGAACAUGUCCCAUCGUUAGCAUUAAAGAA
Molecule: long non-coding RNA, 404 nt
Filed under: Pogona vitticeps (central bearded dragon)
Lineage: Eukaryota; Metazoa; Chordata; Lepidosauria; Squamata; Agamidae
Description: lncRNA (ENSPVIG00000009742.1)
Source: RNAcentral